RNAcentral lists this ribosomal RNA (240 nucleotides) under uncultured bacterium. RNAcentral describes it as "partial 16S ribosomal RNA". It matches the Rfam family "Bacterial small subunit ribosomal RNA", at positions 118 to 347 of the family's 1533-position model. The record is from RNAcentral.
UGGGCAACCUGCCCUUGACACUGGAAUAACAGUUGGAAACAGCUGCUAAUACCGGGUACGACCUGGUGCGGCAUCGCACAAGGUGGAAAGCUCCGGCGGUCAAGGAUGGGCUCGCGGCCUAUCAGCUAGUUGGUGAGGUAACGGCUCACCAAGGCGACGGACGGGUAGCCGGCCUGAGGAGGGUGACCCGGCCACACGUGGGACUGACGACACCGGCCCAGACCUCCGUACGGGAGCAGC